CCUGACUGCUAUCGGAUUGAUACUAAGCCAUGCGAGUCAUUGUAGUAAUACAAGGCAGACGGCCCAGUAACGCGUAGUCAACCUACCCUAUGGACGGGGAUAACCUCGGGAAACUGAGAAUAAUACCCGAUAGAACAUUAUGCCUGGAAUGGUUUAUGUUUCAAAUAAUUUAUUGCCGUAGGAUGGGACUGCGGCCUAUCAGUUUGUUGGUGAGGUAAUGGCCCACCAAGACUAUUACAGGUACGGGCUCUGAGAGGAGUAGCCCGGAGAUGGGUACUGAGACACGGACCCAGGCCCUAUGGGGCGCAGCAGGCGAGAAAACUUUGCAAUGUGCGAAAGCACGACAAGGUUAAUCCGAGUGGUUUCUGCUAAAGGAACCUUUUGUCAGUCCUAGAAACACUGAUGAAUAAGGGGUGGGCAAGUUCUGGUGUCAGCCGCCGCGGUAAAACCAGCACCUCAAGUGGUCAGGAUGAUUAUUGGGCCUAAAGCAUCCGUAGCCUGCUUUGUUAGUUUUCGGUUAAAUCCAUACGCUCAACGUAUGGGCUGCCGGGAAUACUGCAAAGCUAGGGAGUGGGAGAGGUAGACGGUACUCGGUAGGAAGGGGUAAAAUCCUUUGAUCUAUUGAUGACCACCUGUGGCGAAGGCGGUCUACCAGAACACGUCCGACGGUGAGGGAUGAAAGCUGGGGGAGCAAACCGGAUUAGAUACCCGGGUAGUCCCAGCUGUAAACUAUGCAAACUCGGUGAUGCAUUGGCUUGAUGCCAAUGCAGUGCUGCAGGGAAGCCGUUAAGUUUGCCGCCUGGGAAGUACGUACGCAAGUAUGAAACUUAAAGGAAUUGGCGGGGGAGCACCACAAGGGGUGAGGCCUGCGGUUC
RNAcentral lists this ribosomal RNA (875 nucleotides) under uncultured marine group I thaumarchaeote. RNAcentral's name for it is "bacterial SSU rRNA". It matches the Rfam family "Archaeal small subunit ribosomal RNA", at positions 21 to 903 of the family's 1478-position model. Lineage: Archaea; Thermoproteati; Nitrososphaerota. The record is from RNAcentral.